GGGGCUACAAUCAAACAAUGCACGAUGAAUAUUCAUCAUGGAGCUGAGGAAAUACAAAAGAGUUUGGAAAUGCUAUCUCUUGAACAAUGACUAAAUGCAUUUAGAGUUUAGUCGCCACAGGUAGAAGAGUGUUGAUAACACAACAGUGUCUUGGCUGGUGCUGAGCUGUACUCACAGAGCAUCAAGGCCUGUGUAUCCAACAGUCCCUCCCCAACAAAGAGAGGCUGGGAGUGGAGUAGAGGAUGGGAAGGGACACUGCUGAGACAGCAUACCCAAACUGACCAAAGGGAUAUUUCAUACCUAUGAAAUCUGCUUCCAGAUGUCAUACCUAUGACAUACCUAAGACACGAGAGGGGAAAAUGUGUUUCUUCCAAAACAACCCUAAAG
Vidua chalybeata is the source of this 387-nucleotide long non-coding RNA. RefSeq lists it as uncharacterized. The record is from RefSeq and is a predicted model, not a curated record. The transcript has 3 exons. Lineage: Eukaryota; Metazoa; Chordata; Aves; Passeriformes; Viduidae.